This 235-nucleotide ribosomal RNA is filed under the name uncultured Bacillus sp. RNAcentral describes it as "partial 16S ribosomal RNA". It matches the Rfam family "Bacterial small subunit ribosomal RNA", at positions 9 to 233 of the family's 1533-position model. The record is from RNAcentral. Lineage: Bacteria; Bacillati; Bacillota; Bacilli; Caryophanales; Bacillaceae.
GAGUUUGAUCUUGGCUCAGGACGAACGCUGGCGGCGUGCCUAAUACAUGCAAGUCGAACGAACGGAUAAAGAGCUUGCUCUUUUGAAGUUAGUGGCGGACGGGUGAGUAACACGUGGGUAACCUGCCUCACAGCUGGGGAUAACAUCGAGAAAUCGAUGCUAAUACCGAAUGUGCUGAACAUCAUAAGAUGUUCAAGUGAAAGACGGUUUCGGCUGUCACUGUGAGAUGGACCCG